GAUGAACGCUAGCUACAGGCUUAACACAUGCAAGUCGAGGGGAAACGACAUCGAAAGCUUGCUUUUGAUGGGCGUCGACCGGCGCACGGGUGAGUAACGCGUAUCCAACCUGCCCACCACUUGGGGAUAACCUUGCGAAAGUAAGACUAAUACCCAAUGAUAACUCUAGAAGACAUCUGAAAGAGAUUAAAGAAUUAUCGGUGAUGGAUGGGGAUGCGUCUGAUUAGCUUGUUGGCGGGGUAACGGCCCACCAAGGCAACGAUCAGUAGGGGUUCUGAGAGGAAGGUCCCCCACAUUGGAACUGAGACACGGUCCAAACUCCUACGGGAGGCAGCAGUGAGGAAUAUUGGUCAAUGGACGAGAGUCUGAACCAGCCAAGUAGCGUGCAGGAUGACGGCCCUAUGGGUUGUAAACCGCUUUUAUAAGGGAAUAAAGUGAGUCUCGUGAGGCUUUUUGCAUGUACCUUAUGAAUAAGGACCGGCUAAUUCCGUGCCAGCCGCCGCAGUAA
Molecule: ribosomal RNA, 508 nt
Filed under: uncultured bacterium
Lineage: Bacteria
Description: partial 16S ribosomal RNA
Rfam family: Bacterial small subunit ribosomal RNA
Source: RNAcentral